AGCAGCCGCGGUAAUUCCAGCUCCAAUAGCGUAUAUUAAAGUUGUUGCAGUUAAAAAGCUCGUAGUUGAAUUUCGGGAUCAAUGCGUCGGUCGUGCCUCGGUACGCACUAACGAUAUUGACCUCUACCUUCUGACGAACCGUGAUGUCAUUAAUUUGGUGUUACGGGGGGUUAGGACUGUUACUUUGAAAAAAUUAGAGUGUUUAAAGCAAGCAAUCGCUCGAAUACAUUAGCAUGGAAUAAUGAAAUAGGACGUUCGAACCUAUUUUGUUGGUUUCUAGGAUCGACGUAAUGAUUAAUAGGGAUAGUUGGGGGCAUUAGUAUUCAAUUGUCAGAGGUGAAAUUCUUGGAUUUAUUGAAGACUAACUACUGCGAAAGCAUUUGCCAAGGAUGUUUUCAUUAAUCAAGAACGAAAGUUAGGGGAUCGAAGACGAUCAGAUACCGUCGUAGUCUUAACCAUAAACUACGCCGACUAGGGAUCGGAUGAUGUAAUUUUUAAUG
This 500-nucleotide ribosomal RNA is filed under the name uncultured Glomus. Its description in RNAcentral is "SSU rRNA". It matches the Rfam family "Eukaryotic small subunit ribosomal RNA", at positions 569 to 1074 of the family's 1831-position model. The record is from RNAcentral. Lineage: Eukaryota; Fungi; Glomeromycota; Glomeromycetes; Glomerales; Glomeraceae.